UCACCCGGAUGCCCUGCAGCACCCGGACCCGCUCCUCGUGGUCCAUUCCGAGGCAAAAUGUGGUUGUGUGGGACAUGGCAUUGCCGGCCACCAGAGGCUCUACCAUGCUCUUUACCUGCACGUCUGGAACAUGUGGCUUCCUCGCCUGACUCAGCAGGACGAGUGAGCCUCAGAGCCUAGAGAACUGAGCCCCAGCUUUCCCUGCCUCGGCAACUGUCACCCCCAUUCACAUCCACUGACCAUGCAGGCCCACUGCCCCUCCCACCUGCAAGAGCGGGGAAGUGCCGUCCUCUGUGAGUAGAAGGAGAAAGGAAACAUCUGAACACUAGACCAUCAGGCACAACUGGUGAAUGAACAGCUCAUUGACCCCUUACUGUUUCCUGAGAAGGUCCAUGUAAGAAAGAUGUACUGAUAAUAACCGAGAAAUUCCAGACGCUGAAAGAUCACACUGAGACAAAAUCACAAUCCAUUCUGUGCACAGGUGUCGUGCUGACAGCAUACACGCAUCUUCUGCCACAAUGCUCCAUGGAUCUUCUGUCUUACGAAGGUGUUUCCUGGGUGCUAAGAUUGUCGCCCAGCGACACGGGCAUGUUUGUACCUUUGAAAGCAAGUUGUUGCUGCUCGUCA
Molecule: long non-coding RNA, 627 nt
Organism: Eubalaena glacialis (North Atlantic right whale)
Lineage: Eukaryota; Metazoa; Chordata; Mammalia; Artiodactyla; Balaenidae
Exons: 2
Source: RefSeq, a predicted model, not a curated record